CUGGUGUCUCUCUUUCUUAGAGACACAUUGUGCACACCCUUUGAUUCGCAUAACCCCCCUUUGUGCACUUUACAUAGAAGGAUUUUUCUUACCAGCCAGGUGAACGGGUUUGACCCUGCUCUCUCCCAAGUAAACCUCAACUGGUGGAAUCUUUCUAUGGUUCUACUAUAAACAAGUCAGUAUAGAAUGUAAACACACCAUGCGUUUCAACGCAGAAAGCUAUAUACAACUUUCAGCAACGGAUCUCUUGGCUCUCGCAUCGAUGAAGAACGCAGCAAAAUGCGAUAAGUAAUGUGAAUUGCAGAAUUCAGUGAAUCAUCGAAUCUUUGAAUGCACCUUGCACUCCUUGGUAUUCCGAGGAGUAUGCCUGCUUGAGAGUCAUGGUAUUCUCAACUCUAACAACUUUUGUAUCAGUUGUUAGAAUUGGACUUGGAGGAUUGCUGGUUGCCUUUUAGUGACUGGCUUCUCUCAAUUGCAUUAGUAUGAAUCAAGUCAUUGCUAUACUCAGUGUGAUAAACUAUCUGCGCUGUUUCAAACGUGUUGACUUUCAUGCUUGUAUAACCCG
Molecule: ribosomal RNA, 565 nt
Filed under: Podoscypha moelleri
Lineage: Eukaryota; Fungi; Basidiomycota; Agaricomycetes; Polyporales; Podoscyphaceae
Description: eukaryotic LSU rRNA
Rfam family: 5.8S ribosomal RNA (bases 228-381)
Source: RNAcentral